UCCCAGGGCCUGAGAUUUGAGUGGAGUU
Molecule: non-coding RNA, 28 nt
Filed under: Mus musculus (house mouse)
Lineage: Eukaryota; Metazoa; Chordata; Mammalia; Rodentia; Muridae
Source: RNAcentral